UACGUAGGGGGGCUAGCGUUGUCCGGAAUCAUUGGGCGUAAAGCGCGUGUAGGCGGUUCGGUAAGUCCGCUGUGAAAGUCGGGGGGCUCAACCCUCGGAUGCCGGUGGAUACUGUCGGGCUUGAGUACGGAAGAGGCGAGUGGAAUUCCUGGUGUAGCGGUGAAAUGCGCAGAUAUCAGGAGGAACACCAAUUGCGAAGGCGACUUUCUGGCCUAUAACUGACGCUGAGGCGCGAAAGCGUGGGGAGCAAACAGG
This 255-nucleotide ribosomal RNA is filed under the name uncultured bacterium. Its description in RNAcentral is "partial 16S ribosomal RNA". It matches the Rfam family "Bacterial small subunit ribosomal RNA", at positions 524 to 776 of the family's 1533-position model. The record is from RNAcentral.